RNAcentral lists this long non-coding RNA (237 nucleotides) under Olea europaea (common olive). Its description in RNAcentral is "long non-coding RNA (OEUR_LNC011000)". Lineage: Eukaryota; Viridiplantae; Streptophyta; Magnoliopsida; Lamiales; Oleaceae. The record is from RNAcentral.
UGGAACAUUAACAACCUUCAAAACCUAAAAAAAUGGCAGAAAUUCCAACUUGGCCAUUGCUAAUUCUGAAAUAUUUCUCCAAUAAAGCCAUUAUCGAUGACCACAUUAGACAUUUUUCCUCUCAAUUGACCUUCGUAUUGAAUAAUACUUUGUUGCCUCCUUUUUGUCCAAAAUUCUUCUGACUAUUUUGUCAGUUCUACAAAGUCCGACUCUUCGUUCGACCUCAGCCAACUUAAC